RNAcentral lists this ribosomal RNA (464 nucleotides) under uncultured bacterium. RNAcentral's name for it is "partial 16S ribosomal RNA". It matches the Rfam family "Bacterial small subunit ribosomal RNA", at positions 339 to 795 of the family's 1533-position model. The record is from RNAcentral.
CUACGGGUCGCAGCAGUGGGGAAUAUUGCACAAUGGGCGCAAGCCUGAUGCAGCCAUGCCGCGUGUAUGAAGAAGGCCUUCGGGUUGUAAAGUACUUUCAGCGGGGAGGAAGGGAGUAAAGUUAAUACCUUUGCUCAUUGACGUUACCCGCAGAAGAAGCACCGGCUAACUCCGUGCCAGCAGCCGCGGUAAUACGGAGGGUGCAAGCGUUAAUCGGAAUUACUGGGCGUAAAGCGCACGCAGGCGGUUUGUUAAGUCAGAUGUGAAAUCCCCGGGCUCAACCUGGGAACUGCAUCUGAUACUGGCAAGCUUGCGUCUCGUAGAGGGGGGUAGAAUUCCAGGUGUAGCGGUGAAAUGCGUAGAGAUCUGGAGGAAUACCGGUGGCGAAGGCGGCCCCCUGGACGAAGACUGACGCUCAGGUGUGAAAGCGUGGGGAGCAAACAGGAUUAGAUACCCCAGUAGUC